AGGUGCCCCAAAUGUCUACGUUCACCCAUGACGUCACGUCCGCUAUAACCCAUGAUGUCACAUCCGCUUAUUUCCAUGGCGUCUGUCUUACGGAGCCGGCUGCGCUGCGAAGCGGUUCGUAUUCCGUGCCCACUUAGAGCACUGAACAUCCCACGUCUUGGUUUGACUUUCUGGUACAGGAUACUUGCACUUAGCAUGGAGUGAUGAAGCAGAGCAGUGUACUUUUAUUAAAUGUGCAGAUUUUAGCAGUAUAAGAGCCAUUCAUUAAAAAAACAUGUGUGCUGAAAAUAAAGUGUGCUUACCCACA
RNAcentral lists this long non-coding RNA (307 nucleotides) under Dermacentor andersoni. Its description in RNAcentral is "uncharacterized LOC126519860". The record is from RNAcentral. Lineage: Eukaryota; Metazoa; Arthropoda; Arachnida; Ixodida; Ixodidae.